This 460-nucleotide ribosomal RNA is filed under the name uncultured bacterium. RNAcentral's name for it is "partial 16S ribosomal RNA". It matches the Rfam family "Bacterial small subunit ribosomal RNA", at positions 338 to 795 of the family's 1533-position model. The record is from RNAcentral.
CCUACGGGUGGCAGCAGUGAGGAAUAUUGGUCAAUGGACGAGAGUCUGAACCAGCCAAGUAGCGUGAAGGAUGAAUGCCCUAUGGGUUGUAAACUUCUUUUAUAAAGGAAUAAAACGAGGCACGUGUGCCUUUUUGCAUGUACUUUAUGAAUAAGGAACGGCUAACUCCGUGCCAGCAGCCGCGGUAAUACGGAGGAUACGAGCGUUAUCCGGAUUGAUUGGGCUUAAAGGGAACGUAGAUGGGUUGUUAUGUCAGUUGUGAAAUUUUGCGGCUUAACCGUAAAAUUGCAAUUGAUACUGGUAGUCUUGAGUACAGUUGAGGUAGGUGGAAUUCGUGGUGUAGCGGUGAAAUGCUUAGAUAUGACGAAGAACACCGAUUGCGAAGGCAGCCUGCCGCAGCGUUACUGACGCUGAAGCUCGAAAGCGCGGGUAUCGAACAGGAUUAGAUACCCUGGUAGUC